This 354-nucleotide ribosomal RNA is filed under the name uncultured bacterium. Its description in RNAcentral is "bacterial SSU rRNA". It matches the Rfam family "Bacterial small subunit ribosomal RNA", at positions 30 to 383 of the family's 1533-position model. The record is from RNAcentral.
AUUGAACGCUGGCGGCAUGCCUUACACAUGCAAGUCGAACGGCAGCACGGGAGCAAUCCUGGUGGCGAGUGGCGAACGGGUGAGUAAUAUAUCGGAACGUGCCCGGUCGUGGGGGAUAACGUAGCGAAAGCUACGCUAAUACCGCAUACGAUCUACGGAUGAAANCGGGGGGAUCGCAAGACCUCGCGCGAUUGGAGCGGCCGAUAUCAGAUUAGGUAGUUGGUGAGGUAAAGGCUCACCAAGCCGACGAUCUGUAGCUGGUCUGAGAGGACGACCAGCCACACUGGGACUGAGACACGGCCCAGACUCCUACGGGAGGCAGCAGUGGGGAAUUUUGGACAAUGGGCGCAAGCC